ACUGCUUGGAGAGUAAGCUGAUGACGGACUGUACUUGGCAGACUGAGGAUUAUAGCUUGGAGAUGUAGGGCUGUAACUGGGCGAGGUUGGACUAUAACUAGGCGAGGUUGGGCUGUAACCAGGAGAAGUUGGGCUGUAGGCUGGCGAGGUAGGGCUGUAGGAUGGAGAUGUUGGACUGUAGGAAGGAGAAGUUGGGCUGUAGGAAGGCGAAGUUGGGCUGUAGGAUGGCGAAGUUGGGCUGUAGGAAGGAGACGUGGGACUGUAAGAUGGCGAAGUGGGGCUAUAUGCGGGGGAAGUGGGGCUGUAAGCAGGUGAAGUGGGGCUGUAAGCAGGGGAAGUAGGGCUGUAGCUUGGUGAAGUGGGGCUGUAGCUUGGAGAGGUGGGGCUGUAGCUGGGAGAGGUUGGCGAGUAUGAUGGACUCGUAGGAGAGUAAGCUGGACUGGUGGGACUAUAGCCGGAGAACUAGGACUAUAUGUCGGAGAG
RNAcentral lists this long non-coding RNA (483 nucleotides) under Malus domestica (apple). RNAcentral describes it as "long non-coding RNA (MDOM_LNC014816)". The record is from RNAcentral. Lineage: Eukaryota; Viridiplantae; Streptophyta; Magnoliopsida; Rosales; Rosaceae.